This 2203-nucleotide long non-coding RNA is filed under the name Cricetulus griseus (Chinese hamster). RNAcentral describes it as "lncRNA (ENSCGRG00015029007.1)". Lineage: Eukaryota; Metazoa; Chordata; Mammalia; Rodentia; Cricetidae. The record is from RNAcentral.
GUUUAAACCAGCCAUGGUGGUACACACCUGCAACUCCAGCACAAAAAAGGCUGAGGCAGGAGAAUUGAAAGACUGAGGCCUACCUGGGCCAUAUAGUGCGAUCUUGUCUCAAAAACAUACAAACAUAAACCAACAAAAAGUUUGUUUAAACUCAAAACUGGGAUGCAUAGCAUGAUAUCUGUGAGGACUGUGGAGGCUGCACUGCUUCCGUGACCACAAACAGCUACUCAAAACUGCAGACCAUAUGUGCAGGCUCACAGGGUGAAUGUGCCCCCCAACCUCAGCCCUGGCCAGCUUAUAGCCCCAGAAAAUACUCUGCUGCCCUCUGAGAAACGGACUCCAAAGCUCCAGAGGCACUAUAAUAUCUAAAGGCAAGAGGCACACCAUCUCCAUUUUGCCUAACCCAAGCUGGAGACUGGUUACAGAAAAGAAGUGACUGUGGUUUGGAGCUGCCCGGUUCUGGGAUGGCUUGUUAUGCAGCAAUCAAUCAGACCAGCAUCAGUGAACCAUAUGGUUUGGGCUGCUUGACAAUCUUAAAGAAAUUAAAACUAUGAAAGGCCAAUGAGGAGACAUUAGUGGUUACUGUGUCCCUGCUAGCUGUGGAAGACUGUGGGUCUCUGCACAAACAACAGUGGUGGUGAGCCUUCAUCCAGUAGCUGAUGGAAGCAGAAGCAGAAAUCCACAGCUAAGCACUGAGCUGAACUCCUGGAAUCCAGUUGCAGAGAGGGAGGAGUGACAAACAAAGGGGUCAAGACCAUGCUGGGGAAACCCACAGAAACAGCUGACCUGAGCAAGUGGGAACCCAAGUUUUGACAGCUGGGGAACCAACAUAGGACCAAACCAGGCCCCCUGUACAUGGGUGUCUAUGGAGAACUGGGCAGUCUAUGGGACCUCUGGCAGCCGAACAAGGAUGUAUCCCUAGUGCACGAACGGACUUUGGGAGCCCAUUCCCCAUGACUCUCAAGGAUCAAAAAUCACGUGGUCAAACUGGAUGGAAAGCUCCUUUACUGGCUGAGCCAUUUCAUUGCACAAUGAAGUGCAGGUGCUCAGAGAGGCUAGAAAAGGGAAUAGAUCACUUGGAGAUGGAAUUAUAAGCAGUUCUUAGCCACCUAAUAUGGGUGGGGAGCCAAACUCUGGAAGAACAAGCACUCUUCACCACUGAGCAAGUUUCACUUUUUGCUGCAGCAAACACCAUAUGGCUUCUCAACAGUGUGCCUGCUUUUCAGAGCACUGCUUAAGCUUGGGGGCCAUUAGGCACAGUUAGGCUGAGCUGAACACCAGCACUGAGACUGUAGCAAUGUGAUAGCCAGGAUGGCUAAGUGAUCAGCAGGUGUUGGUGUGUCCAGCAUGUGUAUGUAGAGCAAGGGGAUGAUCUGUGUCCCUCCUUGGACAGAGCAGAAUUGGAAGUUGUUUCACCACAUGGAAGAAUAACUUGAGGAUUGCUUACUUCUGGAUUUUUGACACUCAAAUUUUCUGGUUUACAGUGAAACCACAAAUAAGGAGAGAAUAUGGUUUAUCUGGUUGGGUGAGAUGUUUGGCAAAGUCUGUGGUCUGUUUUCCACAAAGGGUUACAAUUGAUUUUGAAGUCAUUUGUAUAUUUUAAGUAACAUUACUGUAUCUGCUAUGUCUCUUGUUAGUAUUUUAUCUGAGUCAAUGGCUUGUCUUUCAUACUGUUACAGUCAACUUUUGCAAAGCAGAAUUUAUGAAUUUUAUUGAGAUCUAGUUUCUUUCCAUAGAUUGUGCCUUUGGUAGUGUACCUAAAGUCAGUGCCCAAAUCCAAAGGCAUUGACACUGUCACCUAUGGCAUCACCUAAGUUUUACAUUUAGAUCUGCAAUCAAUUUAACUAGGUUCUAAGUGUGUAUAUUCUGUGCCUAGACUGACUUUCAUUAGAUAUCCAUGAAUCCCAGUAGUUUUUCUAAAUGUUUUUGUCUUGAUGAUGUGACUCUUAUACCUGAACUCUCUAUUCUGUUCCAGUUCCCCUCUGCCAUGUCAUACUCUCUAGUCAGUAGUCUGUUGUCUACUAUAGCUUUACAUUAUGCUAUGAAGUCAACUCCUGUCAGCUGUUUAUUCUCCAAUGUUUUAUGAGCGGUUCUGGUCUUUUCCGUCUAUACAUGCUUUAGAAUCAAUUUGCUUACAAAAUAAACUGGCUGGGAUUUUCAUUUGGGCUGUAUUGACUCUACACAUGGGGGAAUCUGAUAUGCU